UUACAGUUGAUAGAGCAAAUAGAACAUGUGGCAUAUAACGCAACGUAGAGUCAUAACGUAUUGUAAUAUUGCUGACAUUUACGAUAUGAUAAACUGCGGGGUGUUUCUCUGCAAAACAUAUGUAUAUAUUUGGGAUGAAGUUAUGUUUAGUGAGAAUUUAUUGGUGCUAAAACUCAGUCCAUACCGAUUACUGUGUAAUUAUAUUCUAGCUCAUCUAAAUAGAUUGCAACUAAAUUGGGAGCACCGGUUCAGUCGUACUUAGUUAAUAACUGAUCUAGGAGGAGAUAUUCAAUACUUCAUCUACUUCCAAAAGCUUUAUACAUACUUUGAAGCUACCUACUAAUAGAAACACUAUUUAAAUAUUACCAAGUCUUAUAGUAGUUAGGCCCUUUGAAGUACGUUGAUGUGUUUUAGUAGGUGAGAUUU
Molecule: non-coding RNA, 426 nt
Organism: Schizosaccharomyces pombe (fission yeast)
Lineage: Eukaryota; Fungi; Ascomycota; Schizosaccharomycetes; Schizosaccharomycetales; Schizosaccharomycetaceae
Source: the annotation of a GenBank genome assembly